RNAcentral lists this ribosomal RNA (462 nucleotides) under uncultured alga. RNAcentral's name for it is "partial 16S ribosomal RNA". The record is from RNAcentral.
CAUCGUUUACAGCGAGGACUACCAGGGGUAUCUAAUCCUGUUUGCUCCCCUAGCUUUCGUCUCUGAGUGUCAGUAAUGGBCCAGURARGUGCCUUCGCUUUUGGUGUUCUUUCMAAUMUCUACGHAUUUCACCGCUCCACUGGAAAUUCCCUUUACCUCUACCAWACUCUAGAUGAGGAGUUUCCUUUGCACAUUCBBGGUUGAGCCUAGGAGAUUUAACAAAAGACUUUCUCAUCCACCUGCACACGCUUUACGCCCAAUAAUUCCGGAUAACACUUGCNUCCCCUGUAUWACCGCGGCKGCKGGCACAGGGUUAGCCGAUGCUUAUUCCUCAAGUAACGYCAGAUCUUCCUCCUUGARAAAAGGGGUUUACAACCMACAGGCCUUCAUCCCCCACGCGGUGAUUGCUCUGUCGGGCUUUCGCCSAUUGSAGAAUAUUCCUCACUGCUGCCUCCCGUACGC